Unclassified non-coding RNA from Papio anubis (olive baboon), 150 nucleotides. It matches the Rfam family "Metazoan signal recognition particle RNA". From Rfam's summary of the family: The signal recognition particle (SRP) is a universally conserved ribonucleoprotein. It is involved in the co-translational targeting of proteins to membranes. The record is from Ensembl. Lineage: Eukaryota; Metazoa; Chordata; Mammalia; Primates; Cercopithecidae.
GCCGGGCAUGGUGGCGCAUGCCUGUAAUCCCAGCUACCCCGGGAGGCUGAGGCAGAAGAAUCACUUGAACCUGGGAGGUGGAGGUUGCAGUGAGCCGAGAUCACGCCACUGCACUCCAGCCUGGGCAACAAGAGUGAAAUUCUGUCUCAA